This 2281-nucleotide long non-coding RNA is filed under the name Olea europaea subsp. europaea. The record is from RNAcentral. Lineage: Eukaryota; Viridiplantae; Streptophyta; Magnoliopsida; Lamiales; Oleaceae.
AAGUAAAAAGUUAUUUAUUUUGACAAUAAGAUAAGAAUUACUAUCAUAACAUGUAACUUACUUUAUAUUCAAUAUUUUUGAGUGAGAAAAUGAGUUUAAAAGUUAUUUUUUCAUUUUUUUUUUUCUGAUAUAGCCAAACAUUUACCAUCCCACUAUAACAAAAAAUUCAAGAAAAGUUGUAUUCCAUACUCUUAAUCAAAGCAUGUAGCAUUCCAGUCAUCACUCUCUCUCUCCUCCCCCUCUCUCUAGAAAUUAAGCAAAGAAAAAGAGAAAAGGUUAGCCGAAAAAGCUAACCAAAGCUAUCUCUAGCUAUAGCACACAGUAAAUCCAAAGAUCUUGAAUAAUUUUUCUCCCCAUUCCUACACUCUUCUUCAAUUUUUCCUCUAUGUCUGAUGAUCAAAACAAGUAUCCUUAUCAACCCUACAAUUGUUUUCAUCAUGAUCUGAAUAUGGUAUCAGGGUUUAUCGGAUCAAACCCUGUUGGAUUUGAUCCUUCUCAUAUGAGCUUCACUGACUGCUUGCACGAAGCAGUGCAUUACAACACUCUAUCAAGUGCCUUUGACAUUUCUUGUUCAUCAUCUCAUGCUGUUAAUUAUCCUGCAAAUGAUACUUGUAAUCCAAACAAAGAUAUCAGUGUUGGAGCGCCAUCUGCUGCAGGAGGGAAUAAUGAAAAUCCAUUGACGCCGAAUUCUACCGAGUUUUCGUCUUCUUCUGCGGUUGGAGGUGAAGAGGAAUCCUCAAAAAGCAAGGAAGAUCUGCAGAAAAAAGUGUUUGAAGAUGAAGAGGAAAAGUCUAAAAAAGCGUAGGUAUUUUGGGGGUUUUCUACUUGAUUUUUCUUUGCCAUUACUAUCAAGGUGGACUUUUUUGGUCCUUUGCUAAUUUUCAAUUUAUUCAUAAUUAUACUUAUUUACAGAACUGAAGAAAAAUAGUAGGAUGGUUUUAUAUUUUUCUACUUACUUUCUUCUUCUUAAAUCAAUUGUGCUUAUUUGUAUGUUCAUAUCUUGAAAUUGAAACUAUGUAUGUAUGAAACAAAACCCUAAUUUUUCAACAACUAUUACUUCAAAUCUAGUUCAUGGAAAUGAAUUUUCACACUUUAUUUAAUUAAUUAACUGCUACUUAAUUAUUUUCCAGGAACAAACCAAAACAGAAAGGGGAGAAAAAGAAACGAGAACCGCGUUUUGCCUUCAUGACAAAGAGUGAAAUCGAUAAUCUUGAAGAUGGUUAUAGAUGGAGGAAAUAUGGCCAGAAAGCAGUGAAAAAUAGCCCUUUUCCAAGGUUAUUAUAUAUCUUUAAUUUCCUGCCCAUGAUAAUUUCUUCACCUGCAGUACAAUGCGAAAUAAUUGAUUAGUAUCAAUAUAACUUAUAUUUCAAGUUUGUUAAUUAAUGAAAACUUUGAUUUUAUGCUAUGUCUUCAAAGUAUUAUUGAUUAGUACCCCUUUAAAUUGAAAUUCUUGAUUUGAUUACUAUUACUAGAGAAAACAUGCCAACAUGAGUAAUAUAUCCCAACAAUUGAUGUUAAAUUAACUUGUAAUUUUCUUCAGAGAAUUAAGAAAAAUUAAUAUAGAGAAGAAUGGAAUCUGAUUACAGUAACCCCUCUCCUCAUUAAUGUUGUAGGAGUUAUUAUAGAUGCACUACUCAGAAGUGCUCUGUGAAGAAAAGAAUUGAAAGAUCAUUUCAAGAUCCGUCUGUGGUGAUCACCACCUAUGAAGGCCAGCACAACCACCACAGUCCCGCCAUGCUUCGUGGCCAGGCCACCGCCAUGUUGGCAUCUUCGCUGCAGCCCACAAUCCCAAGUUUUCCGCAGGACUACAUCCUUUCUCAAAUGCUUCCAACAAGUAACCAAAACCCCCCAAAUUCCAUGUAUUAUAAUAACCUUAAUCCUCAGCAGCAACUUCAACUUCCUGAAUAUAAUUUUAUGCCUGACAUGUUUCCCUCAUUUGUUCACAAAGAGGAGCCAUGAAUUCUCUUUCUCUCGGUGUAUUGUGUAUUAUGUGUAUCUAGGCUUGCACGAUGAAUUGUUAGACUGAUUUAAAGAAGUAUGGAUCACUGCGUAGAGCAUUGAAUGCAAUUAUCUUCUUCUUGAUGUCAAUGAGAGAACUACUUUCACAUUUAAAGAAAUUAUGAAAAACAGUUUAUUAAUUUUUGAAUGUAAUACUAAGUUACUUAGUUCCAAUUUCGUAAAUGAAACUGCUGUUAAACCACUCUUCUGGAAGCUUAAGUUAUUGAGAAAAGAUGCAUUUAUUAAUUUCAUUAUAUCUUUAGCACGCUCCCUAAUGAUCAGU